Molecule: long non-coding RNA, 377 nt
Organism: Mobula hypostoma (lesser devil ray)
Lineage: Eukaryota; Metazoa; Chordata; Chondrichthyes; Myliobatiformes; Myliobatidae
Exons: 4
Source: RefSeq, a predicted model, not a curated record
CAGGUACACGUUGCAAAGAUAAAUGUAUUAGGACGUGGCAAGGUAUACUAAAUGUGACCAAUCAACGAACAAAUUCGAAAAAGAAAUGUUCCAAGAAACACAGAAGGAACUGCUGGAAAUGGUUAUCUUUAUGUGAGGAAUUAAAGAAUGACACAUCGGAAAUAUACUCAGAUCAUAAAGUUUCCAAAAUAAAGGAAAUCCACAGAAAUCAACCAAUAAGACUGAUUGCUAAUUCAUCAUGGGUCGGUAAACGAAACACCGAUAAUCAGGAUGCUGAUGUCGAGGUGAUCCUUCCAGCUGAGCUAUCUGAGAGAGCUGAAGAGCAACAGAAUGACCUUUCAAGGCUCAUUUUCGCCGUAUUUAAUGACAGCGAACUA